This 253-nucleotide ribosomal RNA is filed under the name uncultured bacterium. Its description in RNAcentral is "partial 16S ribosomal RNA". It matches the Rfam family "Bacterial small subunit ribosomal RNA", at positions 524 to 776 of the family's 1533-position model. The record is from RNAcentral.
UACGGGGGGGGUAAGCGUUGUUCGGAAUUACUGGGCGUAAAGGGCUCGUAGGCGGCCAACUAAGUCAGACGUGAAAUCCCUCAGCUUAACUGGGGAACUGCGUCUGAUACUGGAUGGCUUGGAUCCGGGAGAGGGAUGCGGAAUUCCAGGUGUAGCGGUGAAAUGCGUAGAUAUCUGGAGGAACACCGGUGGCGAAGGCGGCAUCCUGGACCGGUAUUGACGCUGAGAAGCGAAAGCAUGGGGAGCGAACAGG